AGUGAACGCUGGCGGUAGGCCUAACACAUGCAAGUCGAACGGCAGCACAGUAAGAGCUUGCUCUUACGGGUGGCGAGUGGCGGACGGGUGAGGAAUACAUCGGAAUCUACUUUUUCGUGGGGGAUAACGUAGGGAAACUUACGCUAAUACCGCAUACGACCUACGGGUGAAAGCAGGGGAUCUUCGGACCUUGCGCGAUUGAAUGAGCCGAUGUCGGAUUAGCUAGUUGGCGGGGUAAAGGCCCACCAAGGCGACGAUCCGUAGCUGGUCUGAGAGGAUGAUCAGCAACACUGGAACUGAGAAACGGUCCAGACUCCUACGGGAGGCAGCAGUGGGGAAUACUGGACAAUGGGCGCAAGCCUGAUCCAGCCAUACCGCGUGGGUGAAGAAGGCCUUCGGGUUGUAAAGCCCUUUUGUUGGGAAAGAAAAGCAGCAGGUUAAUACCCCGCUGUUCUGACGGUACCCAAAGAAUAAGCACCGGCUAACUUCGU
This 491-nucleotide ribosomal RNA is filed under the name uncultured bacterium. Its description in RNAcentral is "partial 16S ribosomal RNA". It matches the Rfam family "Bacterial small subunit ribosomal RNA", at positions 29 to 506 of the family's 1533-position model. The record is from RNAcentral.